RNAcentral lists this ribosomal RNA (222 nucleotides) under uncultured bacterium. RNAcentral's name for it is "partial 16S ribosomal RNA". It matches the Rfam family "Bacterial small subunit ribosomal RNA", at positions 1 to 219 of the family's 1533-position model. The record is from RNAcentral.
UAGAGUUUGAUCCUGGCUCAGAGCGAACGCUGGCGGUAUGCUUAACACAUGCAAGUCGAGCGAGAAAGUGGCUUCGGCCACGAGUACAGCGGCGGACGGGUGCGUAACACGUGGAUAAUCUGCCUUCAGGUCUGGGAUAACCCUGGGAAACUAGAGCUAAUACCGGAUAAGACCACAGGUUCCAUGGAACCAAGGGUAAAAGGCGGCCUUCGGGCUGUCUCC